RNAcentral lists this transfer RNA (66 nucleotides) under Echinoparyphium aconiatum. RNAcentral's name for it is "tRNA-Val". It matches the Rfam family "tRNA". From Rfam's summary of the family: Transfer RNA (tRNA) molecules are approximately 80 nucleotides in length. Their secondary structure includes four short double-helical elements and three loops (D, anti-codon, and T loops). Lineage: Eukaryota; Metazoa; Platyhelminthes; Trematoda; Plagiorchiida; Echinostomatidae. The record is from RNAcentral.
GAUAAUAUAGUUUAAUUUUAAAAUUCCUAUCUUACACGUAGGGGAUGAAAGAAUAUUCUGUUAUCA